CGGCACUAGCGCGGUGGUCCCACCUGACCCCAUGCCGAACUCAGAAGUGAAACGCCGUAGCGCCGAUGGUAGUGUGGGGUCUCCCCAUGCGAGAGUAGGGAACUGCCA
RNAcentral lists this ribosomal RNA (108 nucleotides) under Salmonella enterica subsp. enterica serovar Derby. The record is from RNAcentral. Lineage: Bacteria; Pseudomonadati; Pseudomonadota; Gammaproteobacteria; Enterobacterales; Enterobacteriaceae. RNAcentral also lists the same sequence under 1 other name.